CCCUUAGAUGUCCUGGGCCGCACGCGCGCUACACUGAUGCAUGCAACGAGUUUAUAACCUUGGCCUGAAAGGUCUGGGUAAUCUUUUGAACGUGCAUCGUGAUAGGGAUAGAUUAUUGCAAUUGUUAAUCUUGAACGAGGAAUUCCUAGUAAACGCGAGUCAUCAGCUCGCAUUGAUUACGUCCCUGCCCUUUGUACACACCGCACGUCGCACCUACCGAUUGAAUGGUUCGGUGAAGAUCUCGGACUUCGAUAUUUAUUCUUUAUUGAGUUUAUAUUGUGGGAAGUUAUCUAAACCUCAUCAUUUAGAGGAAGGUGAAGUCGUAACA
RNAcentral lists this ribosomal RNA (328 nucleotides) under uncultured eukaryote. RNAcentral describes it as "partial 18S ribosomal RNA". It matches the Rfam family "Eukaryotic small subunit ribosomal RNA", at positions 1470 to 1796 of the family's 1831-position model. The record is from RNAcentral.